UCUGUCUACUUUCAGUGAGGCCAUCUCCAGAAUAAUAAUUUGGUUUAAAUAUGGCUUCCUUAAAUAUGCAAACAGCUCCAGCUAUCACAUCUUCAUCAGCAUAGUGCAGCUGAGAUAAAAGAAUACGUGAUAUCUGCAUUCCAUAUUCUGACAUUGUGCUUUCAAAUUUCUUUCUGUCCAAACGUCCCAAAAGAAGGCAUAGACAGUUGAGGAAAAAUUUUCUAGUCUCCAUACCAGCAUCCUUG
This 245-nucleotide unclassified non-coding RNA is filed under the name Hevea brasiliensis (rubber tree). The record is from RNAcentral. Lineage: Eukaryota; Viridiplantae; Streptophyta; Magnoliopsida; Malpighiales; Euphorbiaceae.